UACGUAGGGUGCGAGCGUUGUCCGGAAUUAUUGGGCGUAAAGGGCUCGUAGGCGGUUUGUCGCGUCGGGAGUGAAAUCCACUGGCUUAACUGGUGGCUUGCUUUCGAUACGGGCAGACUGGAGGUAUGCAGGGGGAGAACGGAAUUCCUGGUGUAGCGGUGAAAUGCGCAGAUAUCAGGAGGAACACCGGUGGCGAAGGCGGUUCUCUGGGCAUGUCCUGACGCUGAGGAGCGAAAGCGUGGGGAGCGAACAGG
This 254-nucleotide ribosomal RNA is filed under the name uncultured bacterium. Its description in RNAcentral is "partial 16S ribosomal RNA". It matches the Rfam family "Bacterial small subunit ribosomal RNA", at positions 524 to 776 of the family's 1533-position model. The record is from RNAcentral.